GGGGAUUUAGCUCAGUGGUAGAGCACUUGCCUAGCAAGCACAAGGUCCUAGGUUCGGUCCCCAGCUCCG
RNAcentral lists this transfer RNA (69 nucleotides) under Rattus norvegicus (Norway rat). It matches the Rfam family "tRNA". Rfam says of the family: Transfer RNA (tRNA) molecules are approximately 80 nucleotides in length. Their secondary structure includes four short double-helical elements and three loops (D, anti-codon, and T loops). The record is from Rfam by way of RNAcentral. Lineage: Eukaryota; Metazoa; Chordata; Mammalia; Rodentia; Muridae.